Telopea speciosissima is the source of this 103-nucleotide long non-coding RNA. RefSeq lists it as uncharacterized. The record is from RefSeq and is a predicted model, not a curated record. NCBI's taxonomy places the organism in Eukaryota, Viridiplantae, Streptophyta, Magnoliopsida, Proteales, Proteaceae. The transcript is spliced from 3 exons.
UCAGACUUCAUAAAUCAUCUUCAUUCUCUCCCAAUCAUCACAAUCGCAAUUCUACGGUGUAAAGGUUUCUACUACUAAUUCUUGUUCUGUCUUCUCUGUCAGU